Molecule: long non-coding RNA, 340 nt
Filed under: Equus caballus (horse)
Lineage: Eukaryota; Metazoa; Chordata; Mammalia; Perissodactyla; Equidae
Description: lncRNA (ENSECAG00000055887.1)
Source: RNAcentral
GCCAUCUCUGCGGCAGUGUCCCUGCCAGCCACAACCAGCUUGGGGCACUGCCGGUGUCCCAUCGCCACCGGGCAGCCUACGCUUUUCCAGGCCGUGCCGAUUCCGAUUCGGACACAGCUGUCAGCUGCGUUCCUCGUACCCACCCGUUCUCUCCAUCGGUGCCGGGCUCAGCGAGACGCCGGCGAGAAGGAAGAGGAGGCGAGAGGUGAACUGAGUUUGAUCCUGCGGCGGCUACAACAGCAACUCCAGAGCCGAGAGACUGCGUCCCGGGACGGACUGCCUUUUCUUAAUUGAUACAAUAGCCCAGCUCGGGUUUUCACCUCCUCCCCCAACUCCACCC